Molecule: long non-coding RNA, 491 nt
Filed under: Coccomyxa subellipsoidea
Lineage: Eukaryota; Viridiplantae; Chlorophyta; Trebouxiophyceae; Coccomyxaceae
Description: long non-coding RNA (CSUB_LNC000664)
Source: RNAcentral
AGCCGAAAAUUAUGAGCAUGUCUAUCAUAACCCUGUAUAGUAAUUUUUACAUUGCAAAUAGUUGACUGCCUAGUGCUCUGGCUUUCAGAGUUGCAGUUUGGAAGAUUGAUCAUAGCAGCAUACACAGUGCCGUGCCAUUUGCCUUUGGGACGAGGCACGCAUCAACACGUAGUGCAGUAUUGGGCACAGAUCCAGCUAAAAGCCGCAAUCUCCAGUAGAUCUGGCUAAUAGCCAACAUCUCCAGUAGACCUCUGUUUAUAUUGGUGUCUACCAGCAUAAAGCUGUAAUGCUGUCGCGCAAAACUAUGUAUGAGCUCACUUCCUGAUUCUUUCACCGUCAUCCUCCCUCAGCAGCUGCUGCAUGCGUUCCAGAUCUUCCAUGACAGCUGCACGCGCAAGCUGCAGGUAGAUGCGAGCAAUGCACUUCUGGCCUGCCCGAUACACCACGCAGUCCCGCAGCCGCCCAGAAAGCUUCCCGCCACCUCCACACAG